Molecule: ribosomal RNA, 643 nt
Filed under: bacterium SL5.19
Lineage: Bacteria
Description: bacterial SSU rRNA
Rfam family: Bacterial small subunit ribosomal RNA
Source: RNAcentral
GCAGUCGAACGGUGAAGCCCAGCUUGCUGGGUGGAUCAGUGGCGAACGGGUGAGUAACACGUGAGUAACCUGCCCCUGACUCUGGGAUAAGCCUUGGAAACGAGGUCUAAUACCGGAUAUGUGACGUUCAGGCAUCUGAUGCGUCUGGAAAGAUUUAUCGGUCAGGGAUGGGCUCGCGGCCUAUCAGCUUGUUGGUGGGGUGAUGGCCUACCAAGGCGACGACGGGUAGCCGGCCUGAGAGGGCGACCGGCCACACUGGGACUGAGACACGGCCCAGACUCCUACGGGAGGCAGCAGUGGGGAAUAUUGCACAAUGGGCGCAAGCCUGAUGCAGCGACGCCGCGUGAGGGAUGAAGGCCUUCGGGUUGUAAACCUCUUUCAGCAGGGAAGAAGCGCAAGUGACGGUACCUGCAGAAGAAGCGCCGGCUAACUACGUGCCAGCAGCCGCGGUAAUACGUAGGGCGCAAGCGUUGUCCGGAAUUAUUGGGCGUAAAGAGCUCGUAGGCGGUUUGUCGCGUCUGCUGUGAAAACUCGAGGCUCAACCUCGGGCUUGCAGUGGGUACGGGCAGACUAGAGUGCGGUAGGGGAGACUGGAAUUCCUGGUGUAGCGGUGGAAUGCGCAGAUAUCAGGAGGAACACCGAU